CCUACGGGAGGCAGCAGUGGGGACUAUUUCACAAUGGGGGAAACCCUGAUGCAGCGACGCCGCGUGAGUGAAGAAGUAUUUCGGUACGUACAGCUCUAUCAGCAGGGAAGAAAAUGACGGUACCUGACUAAGAAGCCCCGGCUAACUACGUGCCAGCAGCCGCGGUAAUACGUAGGGGGCAAGCGUUAUCCGGAUUUACUGGGUGUAAAGGGAGCGUAGACGGCAGCGCAAGUCUGGAGUGAAAUCCCAUGGCUUAACCAUGGAACUGCUUUGGAAACUGUGCUGAUAGAGUGCAGGAGAGGUAAGCGGAAUUCCUAGUGUAGCGGUGAAAUGCGUAGAUAUUAGGAGGAACACCAGUGGCGAAGGCGGCUUACUGGACUGUAACUGACGUUGAGGCUCGAAAGCGUGGGGAGCAAACAGGAUUAGAUACCCUUGUAGUC
RNAcentral lists this ribosomal RNA (440 nucleotides) under uncultured bacterium. RNAcentral describes it as "partial 16S ribosomal RNA". It matches the Rfam family "Bacterial small subunit ribosomal RNA", at positions 338 to 795 of the family's 1533-position model. The record is from RNAcentral.